UCUGGUAAUGAUGGCAGAGAGGCCACACCCGUUCCCAUACCGAACACGGAAGUUAAGCUCUCUAGCGCCGAUGGUAGUUGGGACCUUGUCCCUGU
This 95-nucleotide ribosomal RNA is filed under the name Bacillus anthracis (anthrax bacterium). RNAcentral also lists the same sequence under 2 other names. The record is from RNAcentral. Lineage: Bacteria; Bacillati; Bacillota; Bacilli; Caryophanales; Bacillaceae.